GCUUUUGUGGUUCAGUGGUAGAAUUCUUGCCUUCCAUGUAGGAGACCUGGGUUCGAUUCUUGGCUCAUGCA
This 71-nucleotide transfer RNA is filed under the name Loxodonta africana (African savanna elephant). It matches the Rfam family "tRNA". Rfam says of the family: Transfer RNA (tRNA) molecules are approximately 80 nucleotides in length. Their secondary structure includes four short double-helical elements and three loops (D, anti-codon, and T loops). Lineage: Eukaryota; Metazoa; Chordata; Mammalia; Proboscidea; Elephantidae. The record is from Rfam by way of RNAcentral.